UUUCUCUUAGAACAUCCCUAACUUAGGCCUUUUUCAUGUUAAAAUUACUAUAAUGCUACUGUGCACAAAAGGAAAUAUUAGGAAUGUAGAAGUGCACAGCCACAACCAGUAUGCACUUGGCAAAGAAUUACAACUUUUUACAGCAUCCUUAAUUUUUAGGGUGCGUUUGGACGAGACUUUAAGUUCAAUGGUAUUUAUCCCCAAUUAGAUAUGAUACAAAAUAAAAAUUAGAUGAAAGGGAUUUUGAAAAGGGUAAUAUGCUAGGGAGAUUAAUUUUUUAAACUAAAUGAUUUGUCACCAAUAAAACAUAAGUACAUCUAUCGAUAACAAUCCAAUCAUUAAAAACCACGUUAUUUAAUUUACAAAAUUUAGUUUAGAAAUUUUCUCUCCCUAUCAUUCCCCUUUUGAAAAUGACUAGGUGUUAUAUAUUUGAGAGAACGUUCAAGCCCUUUGUUUAGUGUCUUGUAGUGCAUCUGUAAUGUUCCUGUAAUAGCUUUGUAGUGUUUGAGUUGUGCACUUUUUUUUGUUAAAUUAAGGUCACAAAGUCAAUCCCACUCCAAUAUUGCUAUCAUAAGAAGUGACUAAUUGAUAAUUUCAUUAAUAGAAAUGAAAAAUACAAUAUGUCAAGGGGAACAUGAAGCCUAACCAUGACAACAAAAGAAGACCAUGAAAAACAAAGAAACAAAAUAACAACGACAAUAAAAUAAAACCUAUCAAAAGCAGUAGCUUGGAAGACCCACAUAAUCUUGAUGAUAAUAUGGCAUAAUAAAAGCAGGAGGUUAAUCCCACCAAACAAGAGUAUUUAAUGUGUCUUGUCACCAAGGUUCUAAACAUGCUAGGCCCUAAUCGAACGGCUGGUUGGGGCUUAGGCUAAGCUGACUAUGCGGAUUUAAAUAAAUCUAUUGUAGUUCAUGUAAAUAACUGUCUAUUUAUACUUAAAAUAUAUAUAAUUUCAUCGUAAAU
RNAcentral lists this long non-coding RNA (963 nucleotides) under Malus domestica (apple). RNAcentral describes it as "long non-coding RNA (MDOM_LNC013728)". The record is from RNAcentral. Lineage: Eukaryota; Viridiplantae; Streptophyta; Magnoliopsida; Rosales; Rosaceae.